This 7024-nucleotide long non-coding RNA is filed under the name Triticum aestivum (bread wheat). Its description in RNAcentral is "long non-coding RNA (TAES_LNC011022)". Lineage: Eukaryota; Viridiplantae; Streptophyta; Magnoliopsida; Poales; Poaceae. The record is from RNAcentral.
ACAGCAAGAAGAUCGAUCUACCAGACGGGCUAUGCGUUGAAAUAUCUCCUGACGGUUGUACAUACCACGAUGGUCUUUGCUUCCAUUGUUUGGUAACUGACGUCUACUACCCCACUAUGGAUGACUGCAAGAGCAAUUGCAACAAAUCCUCGUCUUUACAAGACGUGCUAGUUGCCAUGACAACCUCCCCUCCUCCUCCUUUAUCUGCUCCUUAAUUUUCCGGCCUAGACAAUGGUUAUAUGUACAAGAUUGUCCCCUGAAAAUAAUGCCUAUGUGCGGAAACCAGUUAUGCAAUGCGAGUAAUAUACUGCAGCAGUUGUUGCUGAGUAUUUUGGUUUGGCAAAUCACAUUUGAACCUUUACUAGGAAUUGUUGGGAGAGCGAUGAAAUGACUCGCAAGCGCAGAUGCUCCGGAAAUCUGAGUGGUACAGCUUAGCUUGGGAUCUGUGUCGGUUAAAUCUGUGUCACAUAUACGUUUUAGAAUACAGAGGUGAAUACAUCUGCAGAUGGGCUAUACUGGACCAUAGUACUAACUCCUCGCAAAGUCGCAAGUCUCCUCUGUUCAAGUCCAUCGAUGUCCCAUGCAAAAUAAAAUGAAAUAAGUCCAUCGAUCUCUCACUUAAAAAGAGUCCUAUGGCUAUGGAUGACCAGGGAGGCCGCCCUUGGCCAAUAUCCGGCGCCGGUGAGUUCGUCUACCCUGUCAUGGUGGGUUUCUCAUCUAUCCUACCUCUCAUGAGGCGUCCGGUUCUUGUCUUUCCCAAGCUCACAUUAAUAUUCCCAAAUCAGCCCUCGGCCGGCCUUGGCGACAUCAUCUUCAUCCACUCCCGUGCUGCACACACCCAUUUCUCUGAUCUCUUAAAGCAACUCUAGCCGAGCCCAUAAAAGAUACAGGAGUAUUUGGCCGGGUAAACCUUAAUGGAGUAAAUUUAGUCCACUAAGUUUUGGUCGGUUCUAGCUGAUCCCCUAAAUUUAGCGGAGUAAAAUAAAAUUUGGUUAAGAUGAACAUAGAUUCGAUCUAAACAAACUUCUAAACCGAAAUUCGACACGUAAUUUACAUUAUCAUCCGUCGAAACAUAGUUCAAAGUGAUACUAAAACUUGAACUCAAACAUAAGCUAAAAUCUAAAUCUAACCAAAAAAAUUAGUCGCUAUUCGACUUUGCGAGGGAGAGCAAGUCCUCCCUAGAGAUUCCACCGCCCAUGGGGUCAGUCCCUAGGUCGUCUUCGUUGUAUCCAGGAAGGUCCUUCACCACUCCUCGAUGUUGAAGCUGUCAUCGUUGCCGCCUCCACUGCCACCAUUGUUGCCGCCUCCACCGAGCCAGCUCGUCAUCGACCAGCGCCCACGUGCAUCUAGGGAUCAUACAUUCAACAGGGGGUGACUCCAUGAGUCAGGUGAUCCACAAAAACCGCAUGAGCUAGAGUCCGCCAUAUGGCUGUGUGCCCAAUAUCAUUUGUUGCUAAAGAAUGUAUGGAUAGAUGCCAAAGGAACAGCCUCACGUUUCCCGGCACCAGAACUUUCCAUAAACUUUUCCAUGAGCCCUCUUCAGCAGCCGAGGUGGAGGAACCAUCCCUUUGAUCUAAGCAUGACUAUUGGAGAACUAAUUACAAUUAUGAAAUAUACAAAUAUAGACAUAGGAGAUAAGUCCAACCAAAUUUGGGAACUUGUCUAAAAAGGGAGAAAAUUAGUCUGACUUGAUUUUGCUUUUAAUGAGGGUUCAUAAUAUAGGAUGAUAUUAAAUAAUCCAAUUUUAUUGCUUGAUGGUUUACACGGGAUAAGGAUGACCGGUUCUCUCUUCUCUCAAUAUAUACGAUCGACUCAUGUGCUCAUUGGUAACCAAACAUUUCUCAUCGACAACCAAAGUGACCUGAGUGCCUGCGUAGCUAGUGUUGUAUCUGGUUGGCCAUGGACAAGUACACGAUUCGCAUCCUUGCACUAGGAGCCCUAGUGUGUCUACAUCUCGUAUGCUCUGCUACUGUUGCUCAAUGUAAGGCAGCUAGCAUACCAAUAUUUAUGUAUCUUCACAAUGCUUAAUUUUUCUUCACUUGUCCUGGCUGGAAGUAUGUACCUAGUAUAGCUAUCAAAGGCCUUUCUAUUUUGCUUUGUAACUGGUUCCAUCGUUUAUAUGCAUAUAUAUACAUACACACUACUCUAAAAUAAUUGCAUAACGAUGGUUGUUCGUUUGUUAUUACUCCAUAAUAUACAGGCCAAAUCAUGGCUGACACCGACAGCAAGAAGAUCGAUCUACCAGACGGGCUAUGCGUUGAAAUAUCUCCUGACGGUUGUACAUACCACGAUGGUCUUUGCUUCCAUUGUUUGGUAACUGACGUCUACUACCCCACUAUGGAUGACUGCAAGAGCAAUUGCAACAAAUCCUCGUCUUUACAAGACGUGCUAGUUGCCAUGACAACCUCCCCUCCUCCUCCUUUAUCUGCUCCUUAAUUUUCCGGCCUAGACAAUGGUUAUAUGUACAAGAUUGUCCCCUGAAAAUAAUGCCUAUGUGCGGAAACCAGUUAUGCAAUGCGAGUAAUAUACUGCAGCAGUUGUUGCUGAGUAUUUUGGUUUGGCAAAUCACAUUUGAACCUUUACUAGGAAUUGUUGGGAGAGCGAUGAAAUGACUCGCAAGCGCAGAUGCUCCGGAAAUCCGAGUGGUACAGCUUAGCUUGGGAUCUGUGUCGGUUAAAUCUGUGUCACAUAUACGUUUUAGAAUACAGAGGUGAAUACAUCUGCAGAUGGGCUAUACUGGACCAUAGUACUAACUCCUCGCAAAGUCGCAAGUCUCCUCUCUUCAAGUCCAUCGAUGUCCCAUGCAAAAUAAAAUGAAAUAAGUCCAUCGAUCUCUCACUUAAAAAGAGUCCUAUGGCUAUGGAUGACCAGGGAGGCCGCCCUUGGCCAAUAUCCGGCGCCGGUGAGUUCGUCUACCCUGUCAUGGUGGGUUUCUCAUCUAUCCUACCUCUCAUGAGGCGUCCGGUUCUUGUCUUUCCCAAGCUCACAUUAAUAUUCCCAAAUCAGCCCUCGGCCGGCCUUGGCGACAUCAUCUUCAUCCACUCCCGUGCUGCACACACCCAUUUCUCUGAUCUCUUAAAGCAACUCUAGCCGAGCCCAUAAAAGAUACAGGAGUAUUUGGCCGGGUAAACCUUAAUGGAGUAAAUUUAGUCCACUAAGUUUUGGUCGGUUCUAGCUGAUCCCCUAAAUUUAGCGGAGUAAAAUAAAAUUUGGUUAAGAUGAACAUAGAUUCGAUCUAAAUAAACUUCUAAACCGAAAUUCGACACGUAAUUUACAUUAUCAUCCGUCGAAACAUAGUUCAAAGUGAUACUAAAACUUGAACUCAAACAUAAGCUAAAAUCUAAAUCUAACCAAAAAAAUUAGUCGCUAUUCGACUUUGCGAGGGAGAGCAAGUCCUCCCUAGAGAUUCCACCGCCCAUGGGGUCAGUCCCUAGGUCGUCUUCGUUGUAUCCAGGAAGGUCCUUCACCACUCCUCGAUGUUGAAGCUGUCAUCGUUGCCGCCUCCACUGCCACCAUUGUUGCCGCCUCCACCGAGCCAGCUCGUCAUCGACCAGCGCCCACGUGCAUCUAGGGAUCAUACAUUCAACAGGGGGUGACUCCAUGAGUCAGGUGAUCCACAAAAACCGCAUGACCUAGAGUCCGCCAUAUGGCUGUGUGCCCCAACAUCAUUUGUUGGUAAAGAAUGUAUGGAUAGAUGCCAAAGGAACAGCCUCACGUUUCCCGGCACCAGAACUUUCCAUAAACUUUUCCAUGAGCCCUCUUCAGCAGCCGAGGUGGAGGAACCAUCCCUUUGAUCUAAGCAUGACUAUUGGAGAAUUAAUUACAAUUCUGAAAUAUACAAAUAUAGACAUAGGAGAUAAGUCCAACCAAAUUUGGGAACUUGUCUAAAAAGGGAGAAAAUUAGUCUGACUUGAUUUGUGCUUUUAAUGAGGGUUCAUAAUAUAGGAUGAUAUUAAAUAAAUCCAAUUUUAUUGCUUGAUGGUUUACACGGGAUAAGGAUGACCGGUUCUCUCUUCUCUCAAUAUAUACGAUCGACUCAUGUGCUCAUUGGUAACCAAACAUUUCUCAUCGACAACCAAAGUGACCUGAGAGCUUGCGUAGCUACUGUUGUAUCUGGUUGGCCAUGGACAAGUACACGAUUCGCAUCCUUGCACUAGGAGCCCUAGUGUGUCUACAUCUCGUAUGCUCUGCUACUGUUGCUCAAUGUAAGGCAGCUAGCACACCCAUAUUUAUGUAUCUUCACAAUGCUUAAUUUUUCUUCACUUGUCCUGGCUGGAAGUAUGUACCUAGUAUAGCUAUCAAAGGCCUUUCUAUUUUGCUUCGUAACUGGUUCCAUCGUUUAUAUGCAUAUAUAUACAUACACACUACUCUAAAAUAAUUGCAUAACGAUGGUUGUUCGUUUGUUAUUAUUCCAUAAUAUACAGGCCAAAUCAUGGCUGACACCGACAGCAAGAAGAUCGAUCUACCAGACGGGCUAUGCGUUGAAAUAUCUCCUGACGGUUGUACAUACCACGAUGGUCUUUGCUUCCAUUGUUUGGUAACUGACGUCUACUACCCCACUAUGGAUGACUGCAAGAGCAAUUGCAACAAAUCCUCGUCUUUACAAGACGUGCUAGUUGCCAUGACAACCUCCCCUCCUCCUCCUUUAUCUGCUCCUUAAUUUUCCGGCCUAGACAAUGGUUAUAUGUACAAGAUUGUCCCCUGAAAAUAAUGCCUAUGUGCGGAAACCAGUUAUGCAAUGCGAGUAAUAUACUGCAGCAGUUGUUGCUGAGUAUUUUGGUUUGGCAAAUCACAUUUGAACCUUUACUAGGAAUUGUUGGGAGAGCGAUGAAAUGACUCGCAAGCGCAGAUGCUCCGGAAAUCCGAGUGGUACAGCUUAGCUUGGGAUCUGUGUCGGUUAAAUCUGUGUCACAUAUACGUUUUAGAAUACAGAGGUGAAUACAUCUGCAGAUGGGCUAUACUGGACCAUAGUACUAACUCCUCGCAAAGUCGCAAGUCUCCUCUCUUCAAGUCCAUCGAUGUCCCAUGCAAAAUAAAAUGAAAUAAGUCCAUCGAUCUCUCACUUAAAAAGAGUCCUAUGGCUGUGGAUGACCAGGGAGGCCGCCCUUGGCCAAUAUCCGGCACCGGUGAGUUCGUAUACCCUGUCAUGGUGGGUUUCUCAUCUAUCCUACCUCUCAUGAGGCGUCCGGUUCUUGUCUUUCCCAAGCUCACAUUAAUAUUCCCAAAUCAGCCAUCGGCCGGCCUUGGCGACAUCAUCUUCAUCCACUCCCGUGCUGCACACACCCAUUUCUCUGAUCUCUUAAAGCAACUCUAGCCGAGCCCAUAAAAGAUACAGGAGUAUUUGGCCGGGUAAACCUUAAUGGAGUAAAUUUAGUCCACUAAGUUUUGGUCGGUUCUAGCUGAUCCCCUAAAUUUAGCGGAGUAAAAUAAAAUUUGGUUAAGAUGAACAUAGAUUCGAUCUAAACAAACUUCUAAACUGAAAUUCGACACGUAAUUUACAUUAUCAUCCGUCGAAACAUAGUUCAAAGCGAUACUAAAACUUGAACUCAAACAUAAGCUAAAAUCUAAAUCUAACCAAAAAAAUUAGUCGCUAUUCGACUUUGCGAGGGAGAGCAAGUCCUCCCUAGAGAUUCCACCGCCCAUGGGGUCAGUCCCUAGGUCGUCUUUGUUGUAUCCAGGAAGGUCCUUCACCACUUAUCGAUGUUGAAGCUGUCAUCGUUGCCGCCUCCACUGCCACCAUUGUUGCCGCCUCCACCGAGCCAGCUCGUCAUCGACCAGCGCCCACGUGCAUCUAGGGAUCAUACAUUCAACAGGGGGUGACUCCAUGAGUCAGGUGAUCCACAAAAACCGCAUGAGCUAGAGUCCACCAUAUGGCUGUGUGCCCAAUAUCAUUUGUUGCUAAAGAAUGUAUGGAUAGAUGCCAAAGGAACAGCCUCACGUUUCCCGGCACUAGAACUUUCCAUAAACUUUUCCAUGAGCCCUCUUCAGCAGCCGAGGUGGAGGAACCAUCCCUUUGAUCUAAGCAUGACUAUUGGAGAAUUAAUUACAAUUAUGAAAUAUACAAAUAUAGACAUAGGAGAUAAGUCCAACCAAAUUUGGGAACUUGUCUAAAAAGGGAGAAAAUUAGUCUGACUUGAUUUGUGCUUUUAAUGAGGGUUCAUAUUAUAGGAUGAUAUUAAAUAAAUCCAAUUUUAUUGCUUGAUGGUUUACACGGGAUAAGGAUGACCAGUUCUCUCUUCUCUCAAUAUAUACGAUCGAUUCAUGUGCUCAUUGGUAACCAAACAUUUCUCAUCGACAACCAAAGUGACCUGAGAGCUUGCGUAGCUAGUGUUGUAUCUGGUUGGCCAUGGACAAGUACACGAUUCGCAUCCUUGCACUAGGAGCCCUAGUGUGUCUACAUCUCGUAUGCUCUGCUACUGUUGCUCAAUGUAAGGCAGCUAGCACACCGAUAUUUAUGUAUCUUCACAAUGCUUAAUUUUUCUUCACUUGUCCUGGCUGGAAGUAUGUACCUAGUAUAGCUAUCAAAGGCCUUUCUAUUUUGCUUUGUAACUGGUUCCAUCGUUUAUAUGCAUAUAUAUACAUACACACUACUCUAAAAUAAUUGCAUAACGAUGGUUGUUCGUUUGUUAUUAUUCCAUAAUAUAUAGGCCAAAUCAUGGCUGACACCGAUAGCAAGAAGAUCGAUCUACCAGACGGGCUAUGCGUUAAAAUAUCUCCUGAUGGUUGUACAUACCACGAUGGUCUUUGCUUCCAUUGUUUGGUAACUGACGUCUACUACCACACUAUGGAUGACUGCAAGAGCAAUUGUAACAAAUCCUCGUCUUUACAAGACGUGCUAGUUGCCAUGACAACCUCCCCUCCUCCUCCUUUAUCUGCUCCUUAAUUUUCCGGCCUAGACAAUGGUUAUAUGUACAAGAUUGUCCCCUGAAAAUAAUGCGUAUGUGCGGAAACCAGUUAUGCAAUGCGAGUAAUAUACUGCAGCAGUUGUUGCUGAGUAUUUUGGUUUGGCAGAUCACAUUUGAAC